UGACUGCGUACCUUUUGUAUAAUGGGUCAGCGACUUAUAUUCUGUAGCAAGGUUAACCGAAUAGGGGAGCCGGAGGGAAACCGAGUCUUAAUUGGGCGUUAAGUUGCAGGGUAUAGACCCGAAACCCGGUGAUCUAGCCAUGGGCAGGUUGAAGGUUGGGUAACACUAACUGGAGGACCGAACCGACUAAUGUUGAAAAAUUAGCGGAUGACCUGUGGCUGGGGGUGAAAGGCCAAUCAAACCGGGAGAUAGCUGGUUCUCCCCGAAAGCUAUUUAGGUAGCGCCUCGUGAAUUCAUCUCCGGGGGUAGAGCACUGUUUCGGCUAGGGGGCCAUCCCGGCUUACCAACCCGAUGCAAACUGCGAAUACCGGAGAAUGUUAUCACGGGAGACACACGGCGGGUGCUAACGUCCGUCGUGAAGAGGGAAACAACCCAGACCGCCAGCUAAGGUCCCAAAGUCAUGGUUAAGUGGGAAACGAUGUGGGAAGGCCCAGACAGCCAGGAUGUUGGCUUAGAAGCAGCCAUCAUUUAAAGAAAGCGUAAUAGCUCACUGGUCGAGUCGGCCUGCGCGGAAGAUGUAACGGGGCUAAACCAUGCACCGAAGCUGCGGCAGCGACACUCAGGUGUUGUUGGGUAGGGGAGCGUUCUGUAAGCCUGCGAAGGUGGCCUGUGAGGGUUGCUGGAGGUAUCAGAAGUGCGAAUGCUGACAUAAGUAACGAUAAAGCGGGUGAAAAGCCCGCUCGCCGGAAGACCAAGGGUUCCUGUCCAACGUUAAUCGGGGCAGGGUGAGUCGACCCCUAAGGCGAGGCCGAAAGGCGUAGUCGAUGGGAAACGGGUUAAUAUUCCCGUACUUGGUGUUACUGCGAAGGGGGGACGGAGAAGGCUAUGUUGGCCGGGCGACGGUUGUCCCGGUUUAAGCGUGUAGGUGUGUGUUCCAGGUAAAUCCGGUUCACUUUAACACUGAGGCGUGACGACGAGGCACUACGGUGCUGAAGCAACAAAUGCCCUGCUUCCAGGAAAAGCCUCUAAGCAUCAGGUAACAUCAAAUCGUACCCCAAACCGACACAGGUGGUCAGGUAGAGAAUACCAAGGCGCUUGAGAGAACUCGGGUGAAGGAACUAGGCAAAAUGGUGCCGUAACUUCGGGAGAAGGCACGCUGACACGUAGGUGAAGUGAUUUACUCAUGGAGCUGAAGUCAGUCGAAGAUACCAGCUGGCUGCAACUGUUUAUUAAAAACACAGCACUGUGCAAACACGAAAGUGGACGUAUACGGUGUGACGCCUGCCCGGUGCCGGAAGGUUAAUUGAUGGGGUCAGCGCAAGCGAAGCUCCUGAUCGAAGCCCCGGUAAACGGCGGCCGUAACUAUAACGGUCCUAAGGUAGCGAAAUUCCUUGUCGGGUAAGUUCCGACCUGCACGAAUGGCGUAAUGAUGGCCAGGCUGUCUCCACCCGAGACUCAGUGAAAUUGAACUCGCUGUGAAGAUGCAGUGUACCCGCGGCAAGACGGAAAGACCCCGUGAACCUUUACUAUAGCUUGACACUGAACAUUGAGCCUUGAUGUGUAGGAUAGGUGGGAGGCUUUGAAGUGUGGACGCCAGUCUGCAUGGAGCCGACCUUGAAAUACCACCCUUUAAUGUUUGAUGUUCUAACGUGGACCCGUGAUCCGGGUUGCGGACAGUGUCUGGUGGGUAGUUUGACUGGGGCGGUCUCCUCCUAAAGAGUAACGGAGGAGCACGAAGGUUGGCUAAUCCUGGUCGGACAUCAGGAGGUUAGUGCAAUGGCAUAAGCCAGCUUGACUGCGAGCGUGACGGCGCGAGCAGGUGCGAAAGCAGGUCAUAGUGAUCCGGUGGUUCUGAAUGGAAGGGCCAUCGCUCAACGGAUAAAAGGUACUCCGGGGAUAACAGGCUGAUACCGCCCAAGAGUUCAUAUCGACGGCGGUGUUUGGCACCUCGAUGUCGGCUCAUCACAUCCUGGGGCUGAAGUAGGUCCCAAGGGUAUGGCUGUUCGCCAUUUAAAGUGGUACGCGAGCUGGGUUUAGAACGUCGUGAGACAGUUCGGUCCCUAUCUGCCGUGGGCGCUGGAGAACUGAGGGGGGCUGCUCCUAGUACGAGAGGACCGGAGUGGACGCAUCACUGGUGUUCGGGUUGUCAUGCCAAUGGCACUGCCCGGUAGCUAAAUGCGGAAGAGAUAAGUGCUGAAAGCAUCUAAGCACGAAACUUGCCCCGAGAUGAGUUCU
RNAcentral lists this ribosomal RNA (2235 nucleotides) under Salmonella enterica subsp. enterica serovar Montevideo str. CASC_09SCPH15965. RNAcentral describes it as "bacterial LSU rRNA". It matches the Rfam family "Bacterial large subunit ribosomal RNA", at positions 594 to 2812 of the family's 2925-position model. The record is from RNAcentral. Lineage: Bacteria; Pseudomonadati; Pseudomonadota; Gammaproteobacteria; Enterobacterales; Enterobacteriaceae.